Long non-coding RNA from Gavialis gangeticus (Gharial), 1058 nucleotides. RefSeq lists it as uncharacterized. NCBI's taxonomy places the organism in Eukaryota, Metazoa, Chordata, Crocodylia, Gavialidae. The transcript has 2 exons. The record is from RefSeq and is a predicted model, not a curated record.
CCUAUCCUGAUUUUCUGCUCUUGUGUUUGUAGGAAAGAAUGGGAAAGUGUCUCCUCAGGGGCAGCAGCGCCAUGAAGACCUGACUGAGGAGGAGCUGGCCAGAUACGUUCACGAGCUGCAGAAGCACCAGGAGACAGCUGAGAAGACCAAGCGAAUGAGCACCAAAGAGAUGUAAGGGGACUCUGUGCUAGAGGAGCCUGGGGGGCUGGGCCUGACCUGCUGCCCUGUCCCUCCAUGCCAACCUCAGUAUGCACAAGUGUCUGCUACCAUUGCCCAAUCACAGAUAUUUACAUUGUAUAGCAUUGGGAUUUUUGUUUUGUAAUGCAGUGGGGGAGGGGAGUGCCGCCCACACAUUCAGGGAGUGUUCACUGCUGGGGGGUAGCAAGGCCAGGAGGAAGUUAUCACAGCCCCUAUGAUCUCCCUUGUGGAGGGGAUCUAUGGAUCUGUGUAGACAAUGGCCAUGGAGGGCAGUCAGUGUAGGUUCUAUGCUAAGAGGGGGAUCUGGGGAAGGAGAGCGGGUUAGUGUUGGUGGGGAGGGGGUCUUUAGCCUUAUGCAAUGUUUGCAGCCUGCUGGCAAGCUCCAAUACGAGCUCUGAGGAACAGCAUCCACCAGCACUGGCUGCAGCAGUAUGUGAGGGACAGCACUGUGUCUGAGUGCAUCUCUUGUGUAGCACUGUCAUCCAGGGACCUUUGCCUUCCUUCACCCCAUGGCCAUCCACUCUCCAUUAACCUUUCUGCCUUAUACCACCUCCCUCAUCACAUCUCCCACUCUGUCCUUCCCCAAGCUCCAGGUCACCCCUGCUACUGCCCUUCCUCCAUGUGGCUCACCUCCUCCAUCUGCUCCCCCGUAUAGGGAAAUGACUUAAGAGAAAAUCGGCACUUGGCUUCAUAGCUAAAGUGAGAAUCCCAGGGAAGUGUGGGGGGUAGCGGUGGGGGGGCGGGGGGAGAGGGUCUUUAACCCUAUCUCCCCCGGGCUAUGAAGCACCUGGAGUCCCUGGUGACAUUCCACUGACAGCAAUCCAAUGUGCCCCUUGCCUUCAGCCAGCCAGUCCCCAGCA